UUAUCGUUCGUGCAAAUUGAAAUCGUAAGACUUGUAAAGAAAAAAUAAUUUGUUGGGAUGCAAAACCACAAAAUAAACAUGCAAAUGCGUUUGAUUCAAUUGACGAGAAAAAUAACUAUGGAUGAAUGGAAUUGUUGGGGGUUUACAAUUUCAUCUUAUUUGUUCUCUCUUAUCUAUUCCUCUUAUUUAAUUUGCUUUGUUAUCUAAUUUUCGUGCAAACUUUCUUGGUCUACCCUUAGCCCGAUCCCUUGACGAAGAGAGCCUAUUACUAAUUACUGGCUUGUUAUCCCUAGCCUUCCCUAGUAAUUAAUAACGCGUUAAGAACAGAAGCAAAAACAAUUGAUCGUCCUACCCCCCU
This 358-nucleotide long non-coding RNA is filed under the name Vigna radiata. Its description in RNAcentral is "long non-coding RNA (VRAD_LNC016558)". Lineage: Eukaryota; Viridiplantae; Streptophyta; Magnoliopsida; Fabales; Fabaceae. The record is from RNAcentral.